RNAcentral lists this long non-coding RNA (233 nucleotides) under Zea mays. RNAcentral describes it as "long non-coding RNA NONZMAT003694". Lineage: Eukaryota; Viridiplantae; Streptophyta; Magnoliopsida; Poales; Poaceae. The record is from RNAcentral.
GUGGAACGAGGGUCAUGCGGGCUGGUCACUCCCUGAGACGUCUUGGCCACGGAGAGAUAGGCAAUCAGUGGGCAUGGUCACCACUGACAGAGGAAUGGGAUACCAGACCCUGGGACUGGGCAAACUUGGGCAGGGGAGAGGUGAACAUGGGUGUGGACAGAAGACCUACCACACACACACGCUGCAAUCUGGCUGGAGCUUGAGGAUAGGGAGGAAAACUUCCCUGGACCAAG